Mus caroli (Ryukyu mouse) is the source of this 851-nucleotide RNA transcript. RefSeq lists it as uncharacterized. NCBI's taxonomy places the organism in Eukaryota, Metazoa, Chordata, Mammalia, Rodentia, Muridae. The record is from RefSeq and is a predicted model, not a curated record.
AGUAGAGCUGACCCUGGUGGCAAAAACUGCAGAGCCCAUGAAAGUGUCAGUCCUACAGAUCCAAAGUUACAGGACCUUCAUGACAUGGGAUAACAACAGGUUAUCUGAGAGAAGUUCAGAUGAGCAUCCAGUAUAAAUGGUGUAGCAGAAGCCAGAAGCCUCAGUCCAGAGCAAUGACUUCUUGAAGUGAACACUUGCAAGUAAUGAUACGUGGCUAAAAAGAGACCUGUGAAAAAUACUUGGACAAAUGAUGCCCACUCAAGGGUAUUGACAACUUAUAAGAGAGACAAAAAAGAUUCCUGGUGUGGGGAGGAGUGCCCAGACAGAUGCCCGAAGCUCUGUGCUACACUGGAAAAAUAUUGAACACGAAAAUGCUAACUUGUGCUUGGCUUGGAGGACAACAUUUCUUAAUCCUCUAAAACUUGUAUCUGUGAACAUAGCAGUAGGGACAACAACAACAACAACAACCAAAACCAUCCAGAGCCUUGCAACCUUGUCAUGUAAGAAUGACACACAGACCAUCCAGAAACCUGUGAAGGCUAUUCUUUCAAUGCCAGUGAUAAACUCUAAUUCAUUGCUAGAAGGGCAAUGUGUGGGCUACAGUGGGAAUUCCAAUCUACCUUCAAAUGACCAACCAUCUCCUUUAAAAACUUCUAGAAGGGAAAUUUGGCACUGAAGCAACAGCAAACAGCAAAAACUUGUCCGUAGGCCUAUGAUAUCUUCAUGCUACAGAAUGCCUCACUCCCUACUCAGAGCUAAAACAAUGCUUCAGCAACCCACCUGAGACUCUCAGGCAGCCAAUUUAUCAAAAGGAGUUAAAGUCCUCCAUUCGGAGUAACUGCUUCGGAGGA